Molecule: long non-coding RNA, 457 nt
Filed under: Gadus morhua (Atlantic cod)
Lineage: Eukaryota; Metazoa; Chordata; Actinopteri; Gadiformes; Gadidae
Description: lncRNA (ENSGMOG00000022289.1)
Source: RNAcentral
GGGCAGGAACAGAUAUUUUGACUAUGAAUGUAUCGUUUAUUUUCUCUACGGCCUGGUGUAUAUCGGCAUGCAUGUCAUCCAAGAGAUUUGUCGGAAUCUGUCGUUAAUCUUAAUCAUGUUUUACAGUGGACAUCAAAUUGACAUGUUUUCAGAAUGUAAAAUAGUCAUUGUGAAAUGUUUUUUGUUUUUGUUUUUUUCACAGAUGACCACAGUUGGAGACGAUGCCCUGCUAGAUGGGGGCUCGAAGCCUGUCCUUUCAAACACCGAAGGGGAUGAUGAUGCUACUCGUCCGAUAAUCACUAAACAGAUGACCACAGUUGGAGACGAUGCCCUGCUAGAUGGGGGCUCGAAGCCUGUCCUUUCAAACACCGAAGGGGAUGAUGUUGCUACUCGUCCGAUAAUCACUAAACAGGUACAUUCAUGUUUAUCACUUCAAAUGUAAUUAUAGUCUCUCUCA